Molecule: small nucleolar RNA, 131 nt
Filed under: Paramormyrops kingsleyae
Lineage: Eukaryota; Metazoa; Chordata; Actinopteri; Osteoglossiformes; Mormyridae
Description: Small nucleolar RNA SNORA30/SNORA37 family (ENSPKIG00000018375.1)
Source: RNAcentral
AAAGCAUCUUCACAGGUCCUGGCCUGGCUGGUAGGUGAGGAUUUGGUAGCGGAUGCUAACAGGAAGUGUCUCCCUGCAGGUGCUCGGUGGCCCCCACCAUGCCGGCUGGGACGUGCGGGGGGGUGACACUC